AUACAGAGGGUGCGAGCGUUAAUCGGAAUUACUGGGCGUAAAGCGCGCGUAGGCGGCUUAUUAAGUCAGAUGUGAAAUCCCCGGGCUCAACCUGGGAACUGCAUCUGAUACUGGUAAGCUAGAGUUUGGGAGAGGGAAGUAGAAUUUCAGGUGUAGCGGUGAAAUGCAUAGAGAUCUGAAGGAAUACCAGUGGCGAAGGCGACUUCCUGGCCUAAAACUGACGCUGAGGUGCGAAAGCGUGGGUAGCAAACGGGAUUAGAUACCCUAGUAGUCC
This 274-nucleotide ribosomal RNA is filed under the name uncultured bacterium. Its description in RNAcentral is "partial 16S ribosomal RNA". It matches the Rfam family "Bacterial small subunit ribosomal RNA", at positions 523 to 796 of the family's 1533-position model. The record is from RNAcentral.